AUACUUACCUGGCAGGGGGAGAUACCAUGAUCAAGAAGGUGGCUCACCCAGGGCGAGGCUCGGCCAUUGCACUCCGGCUGUGCUGACCCCUGCGAAUUCCCCAAAUGUGGGAAUCUCGACUGCAUAAUUUCUGGUAGUGGGGGACUGCGUUCGCGCUCUCCCCUG
This 165-nucleotide small nuclear RNA is filed under the name Dicentrarchus labrax (European seabass). RNAcentral describes it as "U1 spliceosomal RNA (ENSDLAG00005033606.1)". It matches the Rfam family "U1 spliceosomal RNA". From Rfam's summary of the family: U1 is a small nuclear RNA (snRNA) component of the spliceosome (involved in pre-mRNA splicing). Its 5' end forms complementary base pairs with the 5' splice junction, thus defining the 5' donor site of an intron. Lineage: Eukaryota; Metazoa; Chordata; Actinopteri; Moronidae. The record is from Rfam by way of RNAcentral.